Ictalurus punctatus (channel catfish) is the source of this 2005-nucleotide long non-coding RNA. RefSeq lists it as uncharacterized. The record is from RefSeq and is a predicted model, not a curated record. Lineage: Eukaryota; Metazoa; Chordata; Actinopteri; Siluriformes; Ictaluridae. The transcript is spliced from 2 exons.
GAUGAUGAAGAUGAAGAUGAUGAAGAUGAUGAAGAUGAUCACACGCAGUAGAGAGUAAAAAAAGCGCUCGGACUCUUCCAGUGAAGAGAGAAAGCAGCGCGGCGGCAGUAACGGGCUGCAGGUGCUGAUCCUGGCUUCCAUUUACAAAACAGCAGGAGGUGAACAACUCUCCUACUCAUUAACUCUCUCUCUCUCUCUCUCUCUCUCUCUCUCUCUCUCUCACACACACUCACACACACACACACACACACUUUUACAUGCAUAAAAUCACACACAUACACAGAGGUAAAAAGUCAAACACACUUCUGUUUGCAUUAUUUCAACUUUAUUAAAGAUUCUGUCACACACACACACAGAGCCUGGAGACAACUGUCAAACACAGUAGAACAGGAGACGGGACUCAUCUACUGAUCCUGAGAGAGAGAGAGAGAGACAGAGAGAGAGAGAGACAGAGAGACAGAGACAGACACAGAGAGAGAGAGAGAGAGACAGAGAGAGAGAGAGACAGAGAGAGAGAGAGACAGAGAGAGAGAGAGAGAGACAGAGAGAGAGAGACAGAGAGAGAGAGAGAGAGAGAGAGACAGAGAGAGAGAGACAGAGAGAGAGAGAGACAGAGAGAGAGAAACAGAGAGAGAGAGAGACAGAGAGAGAGAGAUUGGUAAAAAAACAACAACAGUUUGUUAAAGACACUAAUUGUAGAUUCAUUUUUGUUUGUACUUAAGUGUGUGUCUAUGUGUGUGUGUAUAUAUAUAUACACACACACACACACACACACACACACACACACAUAUACACACAGUAUCUCACAGAAGUGAGUGCACCCCUCACAUGUGUGUAAAUAUGUGAUGAUAUCUUGUCAUGUGACGCACUGAAGAAAUGACACUGUGCUACAGUGUAAAGUAGUGAGUGUACAGCUUGUGUAACAGUGUCAAUGUGCCGUCCCCUCAAAAUAACUCAACACACAGACAUUAAUGUCCAAACCGCUGGCAACAAAAGUGAGUACACCCCUAAGUGAAAAUGUGAAUGGGGAGCAGGUGUGUUAAAUUUGGUGUCAUCGCUCUCACACUCCCUCAUACUGGUCACUGGAAGUUCAACAUGGCACCUCAUGGCAAAGAACUCUCUGAGGAUCUGAAAAAAAGAGUUGUUGCUCUACAUAAAGAUGGCCUAGGCUAUAAGAAGAUUGCCAAGACCCUGACACUGAGCUGCAGCACGGUGGCCAAGACCAUACAGCGGUUUCACAGGACAGGUUCGACUCAGAACAGGCCUCGCCAUGGUCGACCAAAGAAGUUGAGUGCACGUGCUCAGCGUCAUAUCCAGAGGCUGUGUUUGGGAAAUAGACGUAUGAGUGCAGCCAGCAGUGCUGCAGAGGUUGAAGGGGGGGGGGGUCAGCCUGUCAGUGCUCAGACCAUACGCCGCACACGGCAUCAAACUGGUCUGCAUGGCUGUCGUCCCAGAAGGAAGCCUCUUCUAAAGAUGAUGCACAAGAAAGCCCACAAACAGUUUGCUGAAGACAAGCAGAAUAAGGACAUGGAUUACUGGAACCAGGUCCUGUGGUCUGAUGAGACCAAGAUCAACUUAUUUGGUUCAGAUGGUGUCAAGCGUGUGUGGGGAAACCAGGUGAGGAGUACAAAGACAAGUGUGUCUUGCCUACAGUCAAGCAUGGUGGUGGGAGUGUGAUGGUCUGGGGCUGCAUGAGUGCUGCGGCACUGGGGAGCUACAGUUCACUGAGGGAACCAUGAAUGCCAACAUGUAUGUAUGUGUAUGUGUGGGUGUAUAUAUAUAUAUAUGUAUGUAUGUAUGUAUGUAUGUAUGUAUGUAUGUAGGUAUGUAUGUGUGUAUGUGUGUGUGUGUGUGUGUGUGUGUGUGUGUGUGUGUGUGUGUGUGUGUGUGUAUAUGUGUGUGUUACCUUCACCAUGUGUCCAGGUAGCAGGUACGGUGAACUGAAGUCGUGUUUGCAGUUGGAACACGCCAUGCCCAUCCCCAUUCCUGCUCCAAACACUAUGGG